This is a long non-coding RNA of Arabidopsis lyrata subsp. lyrata, 1310 nucleotides long. RefSeq lists it as uncharacterized. The transcript is spliced from 4 exons. The record is from RefSeq and is a predicted model, not a curated record. Lineage: Eukaryota; Viridiplantae; Streptophyta; Magnoliopsida; Brassicales; Brassicaceae.
GAAGUCCAAUUAUUUUAGGCUCCAAAAAGAAGACAAUUGACCUAAAAAUUGUUCUCCCCCUUUGGCUCGAAAAAGAAAAUUUUACUAAGUCUUUUCAUCUAUCCCCUUUGGCUCGACUAGCUACUGUUCUUCAAAAAUUUCUUCUUUCCAAAAUACGAGACUUUCGUCUCCUUUGGCUUGAUUAGCUAUUGUUCUUCGAAAUUUGUUCUUCUCAAGUCUGAGACUGUUUCGAUGACUCUCUUGCAUUCUUGUUCACUCUUGCUCUCUCCUUGUAAUCUGACUCUGUCAAGCACAAAUCCCAGCAGCUAUUUCGUUGUUGUCCAGUUGAAGAUUCGUGUUUUAAGAUCCUUGGCAUAUUCUUUUUAUUGUGUAGGUAAUUGGUUCCAUUUCUAUAUUUAUUUGAUCCUUGCGUUUGGUGUGAUUUGAGUUUUUGAUCAAACAUCUUUCAAAAAUGUAUGUAUAAUUGGUGGUCGAGCUGUGGUGUUAUUGUUGUAAGAUGGACAAAACUUGGGUUUGGCUUCCAGGGCCGGCCCAAGGGAAAAUGAGUUGGCCCAUCAUUAAAUACAAUUAAAAAAAAUUUCUAUAAAAAGUACACUGAGUAGGUUCGAACUCGGCAGAUCUAAGAAGAGACUGAAGGUGAUAACCACUCUACCACAAUAAAUAUCUGUAAAAUGAUGCCCUUAAAUCGUUUUAUAGAUAUCUGAUGCCUAAAGCCCAUGCUUUACGGGCUUUAGCCUUGGGCCGGCCCUGUUGGCUUCCAAGGGCUAGCCUUGAGUAUGGAGAAGGAGCUAGUAAUUAGUGGAUUUCCGUGUUUGCAGGUGGCGAGCAAUAUCAUUUUAUUAAAGGAUAUUUUCAUUUUCGACAAGCUAGACCCUGAUGGCAAAAAGUUUGAUUAAGUUACUCGCUUUCAAGCUACGAGCCACAACUUGGAAAUGUUUAUGCAUUUAUAGGUUAAAACAAAGGUUUAUCAAUUGGCUGUUGGUGAUAAGUUCACACUCUCUUGUUUGAUCUGUUUUGGGUAUAUACACACUCUCUUAACCUCGAUGGCUGUUCUUAGCUGUUCUGUUUCUGCUUUUGAUUUUAUCCUUGUCCAUAUGUGAUGAAUUAGUUUUACAGGAUUCGUUUUAUGCAAUAGUUAUGUGCCGUGUUGUAGUCAACUGGAGUUGGAAGAAUCAAGAUUGUGAAUACGCCUUGGUGAAUAUAUGUAUCUUUAGAAGUUUCUAAGUAGAAAAAAAUUGUGAUAUGUAUUGUUGUUCUUCAUUAAAUACAAAUCCUUUUGGUCUCUUAAUAAAAAUUAUUAUUAUUAUUAU